This 500-nucleotide ribosomal RNA is filed under the name uncultured bacterium. Its description in RNAcentral is "partial 16S ribosomal RNA". It matches the Rfam family "Bacterial small subunit ribosomal RNA", at positions 30 to 523 of the family's 1533-position model. The record is from RNAcentral.
AUUGAUCGCUGGCGGCAGGCCUAACACAUGCAAGUCGAGCGGUAGAGAGGAGCUUGCUUCUCUUGAGAGCGGCGGACGGGUGAGUAAUGCCUAGGAAUCUGCCUGGUAGUGGGGGAUAACGUUCGGAAACGGACGCUAAUACCGCAUACGUCCUACGGGAGAAAGUGGGGGAUCUUCGGACCUCACGCUAUCAGAUGAGCCUAGGUCGGAUUAGCUAGUUGGUGAGGUAAAGGCUCACCAAGGCGACGAUCCGUAACUGGUCUGAGAGGAUGAUCAGUCACACUGGAACUGAGACACGGUCCAGACUCGUACGGGAGGCAGCAGUGGGGAAUAUUGGACAAUGGGCGCAAGCCUGAUCCAGCCAUGCCGCGUGUGUGAAGAAGGUCUUCGGAUUGUAAAGCACUUUAAGUUGGGAGGAAGGUCAGUAGCUUAAUACGUUGCUGAUUUGACGUUACCGACGGAAUAAGCACCGGCUAACUCUGUGCCAGCCGCCGCAGUAA